RNAcentral lists this unclassified non-coding RNA (233 nucleotides) under plant metagenome. RNAcentral describes it as "partial contains small subunit ribosomal RNA, internal transcribed spacer 1, and 5.8S ribosomal RNA". The record is from RNAcentral.
UUUCCGUAGGUGAACCUGCGGAAGGAUCAUUAUUGGAUUUUGAAACUUCAGGCUGCUGCUGGCUCUCCUCGGAGGGCAUGUGCACGCUUGUUGUCCAUUAUUUCUCCCACUGUGCGUAAAUUGUAGACCUUUCAGUAGGCCUAUGUUGUUCUUCACAAUCUCUGAAUGUAAUAGAAUGGUUUUGAAUCUUGGGAAAUACAAUACAACUUUCAGCAACGGAUCUCUUGGCUCUC